Long non-coding RNA from Phacochoerus africanus (Common warthog), 1703 nucleotides. RefSeq lists it as uncharacterized. The transcript is spliced from 2 exons. NCBI's taxonomy places the organism in Eukaryota, Metazoa, Chordata, Mammalia, Artiodactyla, Suidae. The record is from RefSeq and is a predicted model, not a curated record.
CCAGAAGAAAAACAGGAGGACACAUCAAGAGGGCUUUCCACCUAUUGGAUUCAGCUGGACAUCAGGUGAAAGUGAAGCACGGGAAAUGCACCCUGCAGUGGCUGGCCUUAUGAUACAGAGCAAUGCAUGAAGUGUUUCAGGAGUGGAUCUGAGCACAGGUAGGUCUAGGAUUGUCUUUCCAAUAUUCAUGCCUCUAAAUUCUUUUUCUCAUUUUAUUGCACUGGUGAGUACUUGCAGCACAAAUUUGAAGAGUGGUUGGGAUAGGAAGUCUCCUUGCAUAUUACUGAUUUGGUAGGAUUAAUUCUAAUGUUUCAGCCUUAAAUAGGAUGCUUAUGAUUGCUUAUAAUUACUAUUUAUCAAAUUUAAAAAAUCAAAUCCUUUGUAGCAUAUACUGAGAUGAUUAUAUAAGAUUAUAUAUAUACACACACCCAUGUAUACAUGUUAAUUUACUAUAUUAGUGUAGUGAGUUGCAGUCAUAGAUUUGCUAAUGAGCAAAGGUGAAUCACCCUUCCAAUGUUUGAAAAAAACUUACUUUGUUAGAGUGUAUUGUUCCUUUUUGGUAAAGUGCCUUAUUAGAUUUCUUAAUAUUUUAUUUACCUAUCUACAUAGGUGUUAUGAAACUAGAGGAUUAUGCUAGCCAUGAGAAUGGCUGAAGACUAUCUUUUCUAUACCUUGUAUAUAUAAAGUUUUACUUGUCUUUGACUGUUUAGAACUUACUUAAAAUCUGAUGUUUGAUGCCUUUUUAAGGGGUAGAGUUUUCAUAACCUUUCCAAGUUCUUCCAUAACCAUGCUUUCUUUCCUUCCUUAGCUACCUGCUAAAAGUUGCUUUAACAAAAUUUUGUCUGGUCAGGAAGGCAGGACAGUUUAUGGGCAUCUUGGUUUCUGACUCUAUCCACCUGCCUUAGAGACAUAGCCCUUGUGCAGUUGAGGGACGUUGCAUAACCAAGAUGCAUGUUCUAAAACUAAUGAUUUGCAUAGGAGAAAUAUGUUCCUCAUUAGGUUUCAAUCUGGAAAAUGGUGUAAAGAAAGAUUUUUCACCUUAGAAGCCACUAAUUCCGUUAUUUCAGGGAUAUAUGUAUCUGAUUGAAACUCACUUAGAAGUAAACAGUGGUAUCAACUUAGCCAAGGAAAUGCUGUCUUGGGGAAAGUAUCCCAGAAAUCUUUUCAGAUGUGAGGUGAGAAAGUGCUAUUAUAUUUGGAUAGAAAGUGGGCCAUUCCCAGGGUGAGCUACUUUAGCUAAUUAAAUCCAUUUUAAGACCAGAAGUCCUUUUGUAACCUCAGAACCCCAAACUGGCCUGUCUCUAACAAAAUAUACCGAGUUGCUUUUCAGAGACCACAGAACCAAACCACCAGUUAUGCAGCUGAACAGAGGAGAAAAUCUUGACCUCAGACAACACCCAGAACAAUUUCUACGCCCACAAAGCCAAAGGAACAGGACAUGACCAGAAUGCCGGAACACUUUCAGAUGUGAAGGGUCCUUUGUCCUGGAAUAUCUGGGGCUGAAGCCCCUUUACGACACCUUACCCUAAAGGGCCAAGUUCCAAAGCCCUCCAAUGGAAACUUGCCAAACCAAUGCUUGUGCAAAAUAACCCUCCUCGCCUAACUCAUAAAAGUUUGACUGAACCCUGGAUAAGACAAACUUGAGCUGUGCUCCCUGUAUCUUUUCUGGUUGAUCUUGCAAUAAAGCUUUUUCUUUCUCAAAA